GCGCCAGAGUUGAAAGCCAUUCUCAACAAAAUUGUAGUACUCUCGUGAUCAUACUGGACAGCUGCGCUCUUGUUAAGAAUGGCUUUCGAGCCUGCGCUCA
This 100-nucleotide microRNA precursor is filed under the name Selaginella moellendorffii. Its description in RNAcentral is "miR1090 stem-loop (smo-MIR1090)". Lineage: Eukaryota; Viridiplantae; Streptophyta; Lycopodiopsida; Selaginellales; Selaginellaceae. The record is from miRBase by way of RNAcentral.